RNAcentral lists this ribosomal RNA (253 nucleotides) under uncultured bacterium. Its description in RNAcentral is "partial 16S ribosomal RNA". It matches the Rfam family "Bacterial small subunit ribosomal RNA", at positions 524 to 776 of the family's 1533-position model. The record is from RNAcentral.
UACAGAGGUCUCAAGCGUUGUUCGGAUUCAUUGGGCGUAAAGGGUGCGUAGGCGGCGCGGUAAGUCCGCUGUAAAAGUCCAGGGCUCAACCCUGGAAAGCCGGUGGAAACUGUCGAGCUAGAGUCCGGAAGAGGCGAGUGGAAUUCCUGGUGUAGCGGUGAAAUGCGCAGAUAUCAGGAGGAACACCAAUGGCGAAGGCAGCUCGCUGGGACGGUACUGACGCUGAGACGCGAAAGCGUGGGGAGCAAACAGG